AUUGAACGCUGGCGGCAGGCCUAACACAUGCAAGUCGAGCGGAUGAAGGGAGCUUGCUCCUGGAUUCAGCGGCGGACGGGUGAGUAAUGCCUAGGAAUAUGCCUGGUAGUGGGGGCUAACGUCCGGAAACGGGCGCUAAUACCGCAUACGUCCUGAGGGCGAACGUGGGGGAUCUUCGGACCUCACGCUCUCAGAUGAGCCAAGGUCGGAUUAGCUAGUUGGUGGGGUAAAGGCCUACCAAGGCGACGAUCCGUAGCUGGUCUGAGAGGAUGAUCAGUCACACUGGAACUGAGACACGGUCCAGGCUCCUACGGGAGGCAGCAGUGGGGAAUAUUGGACAAUGGGCGAAAGCCUGAUCCAGCCAUGCCGCGUGUGUGAAGAAGGUCUUCGGAUUGUAAAGCACUUUAAGUUGGGAGGAAGGGCAGUAAGUUAAUACCUUGCUGUUUUGACGUUACCAACAGAAUAAGCACCGGCUAACUUCGUG
This 484-nucleotide ribosomal RNA is filed under the name uncultured bacterium. RNAcentral describes it as "partial 16S ribosomal RNA". It matches the Rfam family "Bacterial small subunit ribosomal RNA", at positions 30 to 507 of the family's 1533-position model. The record is from RNAcentral.